RNAcentral lists this ribosomal RNA (253 nucleotides) under uncultured bacterium. Its description in RNAcentral is "partial 16S ribosomal RNA". It matches the Rfam family "Bacterial small subunit ribosomal RNA", at positions 524 to 776 of the family's 1533-position model. The record is from RNAcentral.
UACGUAGGGACCAAGCGUUGUUCGGAUUUACUGGGCGUAAAGGGCGCGUAGGCGGCGUGACAAGUCACUUGUGAAAUCUCCGGGCUUAACUCGGAACGGUCAAGUGAUACUGUUGUGCUAGAGUACAGAAGGGGCAAUCGGAAUUCUUGGUGUAGCGGUGAAAUGCGUAGAUAUCAAGAGGAACACCAGAGGCGAAGGCGGAUUGCUGGGCUGAUACUGACGCUGAGGCACGAAAGCGUGGGGAGCAAACAGG